Molecule: ribosomal RNA, 255 nt
Filed under: uncultured bacterium
Lineage: Bacteria
Description: partial 16S ribosomal RNA
Rfam family: Bacterial small subunit ribosomal RNA
Source: RNAcentral
UACGGGGGGGGGUAAGCGUUGUUCGGAAUUACUGGGCGUAAAGGGCUCGUAGGCGGCCAACUAAGUCAGACGUGAAAUCCCUCAGCUUAACUGGGUGAACUGCGUCUGAUACUGGAUGGCUUGGAUUUGGGAGAGGGAUGCGGAAUUCCAGGUGUAGCGGUGAAAUGCGUAGAUAUCGGGAGGAACACCUGUGGCGAAAGCGGCUCACUGGACCACAACUGACGCUGAGGCGCGAAAGCUAGGGGAGCAAACAGG